Molecule: ribosomal RNA, 751 nt
Filed under: bacterium enrichment culture clone B3-6
Lineage: Bacteria
Description: bacterial SSU rRNA
Rfam family: Bacterial small subunit ribosomal RNA
Source: RNAcentral
GAUGAACGCUAGCGGCAGGCUUAACACAUGCAAGUCGAGGGGCAGCACGAGUAGCAAUACUUGGUGGCGACCGGCGCAAGGGUGCGUAACGCGUGAGCAACAUGCCUGUAUCAGGGGGAUAAUCCAGGGAAACUUGGUCUAAUACCCCAUAGCAAUUGAAGGAGGCAUCUUCUUUGAUUUAAAGCUUUGGUGGAUACGGAUUGGCUCGCGUGACAUUAGCUAGAUGGUAAGGUAACGGCUUACCAUGGCUACGAUGUCUAGGGGUUCUGAGAGGAAGGUCCCCCACACUGGAACUGAGACACGGUCCAGACUCCUACGGGAGGCAGCAGUGAGGAAUAUUGGACAAUGGAUGGAAAUCUGAUCCAGCCAUGCCGCGUGCAGGAAGACGGCCCUAUGGGUUGUAAACUGCUUUUAUAUGGGAGCAAUAAGACCUACGUGUAGGUCGAUGAGAGUACCAUAUGAAUAAGCGCCGGCUAACUCCGUGCCAGCAGCCGCGGUAAUACGGAGGGUGCAAGCGUUAUCCGGAUUUAUUGGGUUUAAAGGGUGCGUAGGCGGUUUGAUAAGUCAGCGGUGAAAUAUUUCAGCUUAACUGGAAGGGUGCCGUUGAUACUGUCGAGCUUGAAUUUAGUUGCUGUGGGUGGAAUGUGUGGUGUAGCGGUGAAAUGCAUAGAUAUCACACAGAAUAUCGAUUGCGAAGGCAGCUCACAAAGCUAAUAUUGACGCUGAUGCACGAAAGUGUGGGGAUCAAACA